Molecule: long non-coding RNA, 415 nt
Organism: Ictalurus punctatus (channel catfish)
Lineage: Eukaryota; Metazoa; Chordata; Actinopteri; Siluriformes; Ictaluridae
Source: Ensembl
GUGUUACUGUCACCGAGAGGUCUGUGCAGGAGGGCGAGACGUUCAUCUUCCAUCUGCCGAAUAUAGAGUCUGGCAGAUCAGUCGAAUGGAAACAGAUGAAUAAACUGCUGGCCAUCAUUAGCCUGGACAACAACACAGUAAUAUUUCAGCAGGGACGCAGACAUCAGUUCAUGCAGAAUGGGUCAGUCGUCAUCAGAGAUGUCAAACAGGAAGACACCGGCAACUACACUUACAAUAUCAUAUUCAAAGACAAAAAAAUUCAAAGCCACAUCCUCUCACUUACCCUGUACUCAGAAACUACAGAACAGAGCCCUACUUAUAACUCCACAUUCAUUACAUCAGACUGGGGGAGGAAACUGGAGUACCCGGAGGAAACCUCCAAAGCAGGAGGAGAACACGCAAGCUCUGCACACAC